RNAcentral lists this ribosomal RNA (301 nucleotides) under uncultured bacterium. RNAcentral describes it as "partial 16S ribosomal RNA". It matches the Rfam family "Bacterial small subunit ribosomal RNA", at positions 509 to 807 of the family's 1533-position model. The record is from RNAcentral.
CAGUCGCCGCGGGAAUACGUAGGGUGCGAGCGUUAAUCGGAAUUACUGGGCGUAAAGCGUGCGUAGGCGGUUUGUUAAGUCUGUUGUGAAAUCCCCGGGCUCAACCCAUAGUCUGCAUCGGAAACUGUCAGGCUUGAGGAUGGGAGAGGUGAGUGGAAUUUCCGGUGUAGCGGUGAAAUGCGUAGAUAUCGGAAGGAACACCUGUGGCGAAAGCGGCUCACUGGACCACUUCUGACGCUGAUGCACGAAAGCUAGGGGAGCAAACAGGAUUAGAUACCCGCGUAGUCCCUGUCUCUUAUAC